AAAACACACACACACACACUUGACCAGAUUAAAUUAGGGGUUUUCCCUUCUUUUCUCCAAGAUCUGAUAUUAAGCCAGAUAGAUUAUAACAAUUUCACCGAAUUGCGUUCGAAAGUUUUGAAAUUUCAGAUUUUGAUCUCAGAUCUGCUUUUAAGACAUUCAGAUCGGACCUAACACUUAAUUUCUUAAAGGUCUAGGGGUUUUUUUUUUUUUCUC
This 216-nucleotide unclassified non-coding RNA is filed under the name Hevea brasiliensis (rubber tree). The record is from RNAcentral. Lineage: Eukaryota; Viridiplantae; Streptophyta; Magnoliopsida; Malpighiales; Euphorbiaceae.